This 130-nucleotide non-coding RNA is filed under the name Candidatus Phaeomarinibacter. RNAcentral's name for it is "Candidatus Phaeomarinobacter Glycine sequence". It matches the Rfam family "Glycine riboswitch aptamer", at positions 7 to 88 of the family's 94-position model. Rfam says of the family: This family represents the bacterial glycine riboswitch. Glycine riboswitches usually consist of two metabolite-binding aptamers domains with similar structures in tandem. The record is from RNAcentral. Lineage: Bacteria; Pseudomonadati; Pseudomonadota; Alphaproteobacteria; Hyphomicrobiales; Parvibaculaceae.
CACUCUGGAAAGCAGCAGGCGGGAUGUGUCCCGAUUGCUCACCGAAGGAGUAAGCCCGCCACUGAGGCCCCCCAGACCAUCGGGGACAUUGCUUCGGGCAGGGUGAAUCUCUCAGGUUUUCGACAGAGGG